This 250-nucleotide ribosomal RNA is filed under the name uncultured bacterium. RNAcentral describes it as "partial 16S ribosomal RNA". It matches the Rfam family "Bacterial small subunit ribosomal RNA", at positions 524 to 773 of the family's 1533-position model. The record is from RNAcentral.
UACGUAGGGCGCAAGCGUUGUCCGGAAUUAUUGGGCGUAAAGAGCUCGUAGGCGGUUUGUCGCGUCUGCUGUGAAAACUCGAGGCUCAACCUCGGGCUUGCAGUGGGUACGGGCAGACUAGAGUGCGGUAGGGGUGACUGGAAUUCCUGGUGUAGCGGUGGAAUGCGCAGAUAUCAGGAGGAACACCGAUGGCGAAGGCAGGUCACUGGGCCGCAACUGACGCUGAGGAGCGAAAGCAUGGGGAGCGAAC